GACGAACGCUGGCGGCGUGCUUAACACAUGCAAGUCGAACGGAAAGGCCUGUCCUUCCUUGUGUUGGACGGGUACUCGAGUGGCGAACGGGUGAGUAACACGUGAGUGAUCUGCCCCCAACUUGGGUAUAAGCCUGGGAAACUGGGUCUAAUUCCCGAUAGGACUGCAGGGUGGUGUCUGUGGUGGCAAACGAUCUUCUAGUGGUUGGGGAUGAGCUCGCGGCCUAUCAGCUUGUUGGUGGGGUAAUGGCCUACCAAGGCGGCGACGGGUAGCCGGCCUGGGAGGGUGGACGGCCACAUUGGGACUGGGAUACGGCCCAGACUCCUACGGGAGGCAGCAGUGGGGAAUAAUGCACAAUGGGCGGAAGCCUGAAGCAGCGACGCCGCGUGGGGGAUGACGGCCUUCGAGUUGUAAACUCCUUGCGACCGCGAGGAAGCCGCCUGGUUGGAAGGGUGGUGACGGUAGUGGUAGAAGAAGCACCGGCUAACUACGUG
Molecule: ribosomal RNA, 494 nt
Filed under: uncultured bacterium
Lineage: Bacteria
Description: partial 16S ribosomal RNA
Rfam family: Bacterial small subunit ribosomal RNA
Source: RNAcentral